GUAAAAAGUAGAAUAAUAGAUUUGAAAUAUUUAUUAUAUAGAUUUAAAGAGAUAAUCAUGGAGUAUAAUAAUUAAAUUUAAUAAAUUUAAUAUAACUAUUAAUAGAAUUAGGUUACUAAUAAAUUAAUAACAAUUAAUUUUAAAACCUAAAGGUAAACCUUUAUAUUAAUAAUGUUUUUUUUUUAUUAUUUUUUAUAAUAAGAAUAAUUAUUAAUAAUAAUAAACUAAGUGAACUGAAACAUCUAAGUAACUUAAGGAUAAGAAAUCAACAGAGAUAUUAUGAGUAUUGGUGAGAGAAAAUAAUAAAGGUCUAAUAAGUAUUAUGUGAAAAAAAUGUAAGAAAAUAGGAUAACAAAUUCUAAGACUAAAUACUAUUAAUAAGUAUAGUAAGUACCGUAAGGGAAAGUAUGAAAAUGAUUAUUUUAUAAGCAAUCAUGAAUAUAUUAUAUUAUAUUAAUGAUGUACCUUUUGUAUAAUGGGUCAGCAAGUAAUUAAUAUUAGUAAAACAAUAAGUUAUAAAUAAAUAGAAUAAUAUAUAUAUAUAUAAAAAUAUAUUAAAAUAUUUAAUUAAUAUUAAUUGACCCGAAAGCAAACGAUCUAACUAUGAUAAGAUGGAUAAACGAUCGAACAGGUUGAUGUUGCAAUAUCAUCUGAUUAAUUGUGGUUAGUAGUGAAAGACAAAUCUGGUUUGCAGAUAGCUGGUUUUCUAUGAAAUAUAUGUAAGUAUAGCCUUUAUAAAUAAUAAUUAUUAUAUAAUAUUAUAUUAAUAUUAUAUAAAGAAUGGUACAGCAAUUAAUAUAUAUUAGGGAACUAUUAAAGUUUUAUUAAUAAUAUUAAAUCUCGAAAUAUUUAAUUAUAUAUAAUAAAGAGUCAGAUUAUGUGCGAUAAGGUAAAUAAUCUAAAGGGAAACAGCCCAGAUUAAGAUAUAAAGUUCCUAAUAAAUAAUAAGUGAAAUAAAUAUUAAAAUAUUAUAAUAUAAUCAGUUAAUGGGUUUGACAAUAACCAUUUUUUAAUGAACAUGUAACAAUGCACUGAUUUAUAAUAAAUAAAAAAAAAUAAUAUUUAAAAUCAAAUAUAUAUAUAUUUGUUAAUAGAUAAUAUACGGAUCUUAAUAAUAAGAAUUAUUUAAUUCCUAAUAUGGAAUAUUAUAUUUUUAUAAUAAAAAUAUAAAUACUGAAUAUCUAAAUAUUAUUAUUACUUUUUUUUUUUAAUAAUAAUAAUAUGGUAAUAGAACAUUUAAUGAUAAUAUAUAUUAGUUAUUAAUUAAUAUAUGUAUUAAUUAAAUAGAGAAUGCUGACAUGAGUAACGAAAAAAAGGUAUAAACCUUUUCACCUAAAACAUAAGGUUUAACUAUAAAAGUACGGCCCCUAAUUAAAUUAAUAAGAAUAUAAAUAUAUUUAAGAUGGGAUAAUCUAUAUUAAUAAAAAUUUAUCUUAAAAUAUAUAUAUUAUUAAUAAUUAUAUUAAUAAUAUAUAUAAUUAUAUUAUAUAUUUUUUUUUAUAUAAUAUAAACUAAUAAAGAUCAGGAAAUAAUUAAUGUAUACCGUAAUGUAGACCGACUCAGGUAUGUAAGUAGAGAAUAUGAAGGUGAAUUAGAUAAUUAAAGGGAAGGAACUCGGCAAAGAUAGCUCAUAAGUUAGUCAAUAAAGAGUAAUAAGAACAAAGUUGUACAACUGUUUACUAAAAACACCGCACUUUGCAGAAACGAUAAGUUUAAGUAUAAGGUGUGAACUCUGCUCCAUGCUUAAUAUAUAAAUAAAAUUAUUUAACGAUAAUUUAAUUAAAUUUAGGUAAAUAGCAGCCUUAUUAUGAGGGUUAUAAUGUAGCGAAAUUCCUUGGCCUAUAAUUGAGGUCCCGCAUGAAUGACGUAAUGAUACAACAACUGUCUCCCCUUUAAGCUAAGUGAAAUUGAAAUCGUAGUGAAGAUGCUAUGUACCUUCAGCAAGACGGAAAGACCCUAUGCAGCUUUACUGUAAUUAGAUAGAUCGAAUUAUUGUUUAUUAUAUUCAGCAUAUUAAGUAAUCCUAUUAUUAGGUAAUCGUUUAGAUAUUAAUGAGAUACUUAUUAUAAUAUAAUGAUAAUUCUAAUCUUAUAAAUAAUUAUUAUUAUUAUUAUUAAUAAUAAUAAUAAUAUGCUUUCAAGCAUAGUGAUAAAACAUAUUUAUAUGAUAAUCACUUUACUUAAUAGAUAUAAUUCUUAAGUAAUAUAUAAUAUAUAUUAUAUAUAUAUUAUAUAUAAUAUAAGAGACAAUCUCUAAUUGGUAGUUUUGAUGGGGCGUCAUUAUCAGCAAAAGUAUCUGAAUAAGUCCAUAAAUAAAUAUAUAAAAUUAUUGAAUAAAAAAUAAUAUAUAUUAUAUAUAUUAAUUAUAAAUUGAAAUAUGUUUAUAUAAAUUUAUAUUUAUUGAAUAUAUUUUAGUAAUAGAUAAAAAUAUGUACAGUAAAAUUGUAAGGAAAACAAUAAUAACUUUCUAAAAAAUAAUUAUGGAAAGAAUUAAAUUAAUAUAAUGGUAUAACUGUGCGAUAAUUGUAACACAAACGAGUGAAACAAGUACGUAAGUAUGGCAUAAUGAACAAAUAACACUGAUUGUAAAGGUUAUUGAUAACGAAUAAAAGUUACGCUAGGGAUAACAGGGUAAUAUAACGAAAGAGUAGAUAUUGUAAGUUAUGUUUGCCACCUCGAUGUCGACUCAACAUUUCCUCUUGGUUGUAAAAGCUAAGAAGGGUUUGACUGUUCGUCAAUUAAAAUGUUACGUGAGUUGGGUUAAAUACGAUGUGAAUCAGUAUGGUUCCUAUCUGCUGAAGGAAAUAUUAUCAAAUUAAAUCUCAUUAUUAGUACGCAAGGACCAUAAUGAAUCAACCCAUGGUGUAUCUAUUGAUAAUAAUAUAAUAUAUUUAAUAAAAAUAAUACUUUAUUAAUAUAUUAUCUAUAUUAGUUUAUAUUUUAAUUAUAUAUUAUCAUAGUAGAUAAGCUAAGUUGAUAAUAAAUAAAUAUUGAAUACAUAUUAAAUAUGAAGUUGUUUUAAUAAGAUAAUUAAUCUGAUAAUUUUAUACUAAAAUUAAUAAUUAUAGGUUUUAUAUAUUAUUUAUAAAUAAAUAUAUUAUAAUAAUAAUAAUUAUUAUUAUUAAUAAAAAAUAUUAAUUAUAAUAUUAAUAAAAUACUAAUUUAUCAGUUAUCUAUAUAAUAUCUAAUCUAUUAUUCUAUAUACU
This 3205-nucleotide ribosomal RNA is filed under the name Saccharomyces cerevisiae YJM195. Its description in RNAcentral is "21S ribosomal RNA". The stretch from base 188 to 3045 matches the Rfam family "Bacterial large subunit ribosomal RNA". Lineage: Eukaryota; Fungi; Ascomycota; Saccharomycetes; Saccharomycetales; Saccharomycetaceae. The record is from RNAcentral.